AUUGAACGCUGGCGGCAGGCUUAACACAUGCAAGUCGAGCGGGGUGAUGGUGCUUGCACUAUCACUUAGCGGCGGACGGGUGAGUAAUGCUUAGGAAUCUGCCUAUUAGUGGGGGACAACAUCUCGAAAGGGAUGCUAAUACCGCAUACGUCCUACGGGAGAAAGCAGGGGAUCACUUGUGACCUUGCGCUAAUAGAUGAGCCUAAGUCGGAUUAGCUAGUUGGUGGGGUAAAGGCCUACCAAGGCGACGAUCUGUAGCGGGUCUGAGAGGAUGAUCCGCCACACUGGGACGGGAACACGGCCCAGACUCCUACUGGAGGCAGCGGUGGGGAAUAUUGGACAAUGGGGGGAACCCUGAUCCAGCCAUGCCGCGUGUGUGAAGAAGGCCUUAUGGUUAUAAAGCACUUUAAGCGAGGAGGAGGCUCUGUUGGUUAAUACCCAAGAUGAGUGGACGUUACUCGCAGAAUAAGCACCGGCUAACUCUGUGCCAGCCGCCGCGGUAA
Molecule: ribosomal RNA, 503 nt
Filed under: uncultured bacterium
Lineage: Bacteria
Description: partial 16S ribosomal RNA
Rfam family: Bacterial small subunit ribosomal RNA
Source: RNAcentral